CAGUCGCCGCGGGAACACAGAGGGUGCGAGCGUUAAUCGGAUUUACUGGGCGUAAAGCGUGCGUAGGCGGCUUUUUAAGUCGGAUGUGAAAUCCCUGAGCUUAACUUAGGAAUUGCAUUCGAUACUGGGAAGCUAGAGUAUGGGAGAGGAUGGUAGAAUUCCAGGUGUAGCGGUGAAAUGCGUAGAGAUCUGGAGGAAUACCGAUGGCGAAGGCAGCCAUCUGGCCUAAUACUGACGCUGAGGUACGAAAGCAUGGGGAGCAAACAGGAUUAGAUACCCGGGUAGUCCCUGUCUCUUAUAC
RNAcentral lists this ribosomal RNA (301 nucleotides) under uncultured bacterium. RNAcentral's name for it is "partial 16S ribosomal RNA". It matches the Rfam family "Bacterial small subunit ribosomal RNA", at positions 509 to 807 of the family's 1533-position model. The record is from RNAcentral.